Molecule: ribosomal RNA, 499 nt
Filed under: uncultured bacterium
Lineage: Bacteria
Description: bacterial SSU rRNA
Rfam family: Bacterial small subunit ribosomal RNA
Source: RNAcentral
GACGAACGCUGGCGGCGUGCCUAACACAUGCAAGUCGAGCGGGGUUGAGGCGAGAGGUAACUCGAACUUCUACCUAGCGGCGGACGGGUGAGUAACGCGUGGGCAACCUGCCUCAAGGUUUGGGAUAACAGCCCGAAAGGGCUGCUAAUACCGGAUAUGCCUAUGGCCUCGCAUGGGGCUAUGAGCAAAGGGGAAACCCGCCUUGAGAUGGGCCCGCGUCCCAUCAGCUAGUUGGUGAGGUAACAGCUCACCAAGGCGACGACGGGUAGCCGGCCUGAGAGGGUGACCGGCCACACUGGGACUGAGACACGGCCCAGACUCCUACGGGGGGCAGCAGUGGGGGAUCUUGCACAAUGGGCGAAAGCCUGAUGCAGCGACGCCGCGUGAGCGAAGAAGGCCUUGGUUGUAAGACUCUGUCCUCAAGAAGAUAAUGACGGUACUUGAGGAGGAAGCCCCGGCUAACUACGUGCCAGCAGCCGCGGGUAAACAGUAACUCGUA